This 70-nucleotide transfer RNA is filed under the name Marmota monax (woodchuck). RNAcentral describes it as "tRNA.Val". Lineage: Eukaryota; Metazoa; Chordata; Mammalia; Rodentia; Sciuridae. The record is from RNAcentral.
GGGCUGGGGCUCAGUGGCAGGGCGCUCCCCUAACAUGUGCGGGGCCCUGGGUUUGAUCCUCAGCACCACA